This 253-nucleotide ribosomal RNA is filed under the name uncultured bacterium. RNAcentral describes it as "partial 16S ribosomal RNA". It matches the Rfam family "Bacterial small subunit ribosomal RNA", at positions 524 to 776 of the family's 1533-position model. The record is from RNAcentral.
UACGUAGGGGGCCAGCGUUGCUCGGAAUUACUGGGCGUAAAGGGUCCGUAGGCGGUGUAGCAAGUCGAUAGUGAAAUCUCUGGGCUUAACCCAGAGGCUGCUAACGAAACUGCUGUGCUAGAGUGUGAGAGAGGCGAGUGGAAUUACGGGUGUAGCGGUGAAAUGCGUAGAUAUCCGUAGGAACAUCCGAGGCGAAGGCGGCUGGCUGGAUCGCAACUGACGCUGAGGAACGAAAGCGUGGGGAGCGAACAGG